This is a small nucleolar RNA of Arachis stenosperma, 84 nucleotides long. RefSeq annotates it as small nucleolar RNA snoR117. Lineage: Eukaryota; Viridiplantae; Streptophyta; Magnoliopsida; Fabales; Fabaceae. The transcript has a single exon. The record is from RefSeq and is a predicted model, not a curated record.
GGCCUGUGAUGCAUAUCAAUUUGUCCGUACCAUCUGAGAUUUCUUUCUCUGAUCGAUACACCAAUCCUUUCAGAUCUGAGGCCA